This 256-nucleotide long non-coding RNA is filed under the name Capsicum annuum. Its description in RNAcentral is "long non-coding RNA (CANN_LNC014252)". Lineage: Eukaryota; Viridiplantae; Streptophyta; Magnoliopsida; Solanales; Solanaceae. The record is from RNAcentral.
UAAAGAAAAUUAUGAAAAAACAUUUAAUUAACCCAUCUAAAUGACAGAUAAUUUUGAAGUACUAGUUUUUUACAUACUUAGAGAUAUAGAAAUUAUAGACAUAAAAAAAAUAAUAUGAGAAAAAAUAUUUAACAUUGAAGAUGAAGAGUUAGAUAUAAAUCAGAUAGAAGACGAGUUAGGAGAAAUAUACUUAAGUGAUGAAAAUCACUAUUACUACCUAGAUAAUUAUUCAGAUGAAUAUUAUACAGAUUAAGAA